UUCAAAACGUACCAGAAAAAUCACUCAAACUCCCUCCCACCUUCCGCUCCUCUCGACGCUGCCCGCUAAACCACCGUCUCCCUCUCCCUCCCAUGGCCGCGCCCGCCCUCCUCUCCCUCUCCCCCGCCGUCUCCAGGCACCCCCACCUCCUCUUCUCCCACACCCACUCGCCUCGCCACCUCCGCCUCACCCCUCUCGCCGCCUCCUCCUCCCCCUCCCCCUCCCCCUCGCCGGCCGGCGGCGGCGGCGGCGUCUUCCUCUCGCCGAGCGCGCUCUCGCAGCUCGACGCGCUCGCCGCCUUCCGCUACGAGCACACCUUCCCCCACGGCAGCCUCACAGUGCGGGCCCUCACCCCGACCGACGACGCCGAGGCCGAGGUGCUCGUCCGCCUCCUCGCUUCCUCCUUCUCCGAGGACGUCAGAUGGGCCCCCGCGCAGCGCUACGCCCAGCUCCUCGCCUUCGUCAUCCGCCGCUACCUCUACGAGCGCCGCGGCCUCGCGCCCCACGCUGCCGUCCUAGUGGGUUUCUACAAGCCCGCCGCCGCGGAAGAAGGGGGGGAGGGCGAGGUCGACGGGGAUGAGGGAGAGAUGGCGUGCACCGCCGAGGUGUCGCUGGACGCGGUGGGCGCCCCGGGGGCACCGCCCACGCCAACGCCGCCGCUCGAGUUCCCUUACAUCUGCAACAUGACCGUGAAGACCUCGUUGAGGAGGAGAGGAAUUGGAAAACAACUUCUUAAGGCAUGUGAGGAUCUGGUUGUCAAGAUGGAUGCCAAAACGCGUGUAUAUCUUCAUUGUAGAAUAAUUGAUGAAGUGCCGUUCAACAUGUACAUAAAAGCAGGAUACGACAUUGUUCAGACUGACAGUAUCCUUGUUUGGCUGAGCCUCCAGAAGCGCAAGCACUUGAUGCGCAAGGAAUUACCGCAAGUUUCUGUUGGUAGUGAUGUACAACCUUAGAAUUUUGAGGGGCUGAACAUGCCAUAGCACCAUCAGAAUUGAUGUUUGAACAUCGUAACUCUGGUGGUUUCAAAAAUUGAUGAAGAAAUUAAUUAAUGUUGGAAAAACGGAGAAAUGAGGUUUGACUUUGGCAUAGUAAAAAGAAGGAAAAGAGGGACUCUCCGGGAUCUUAUGGAUUAGCAGAAGUUCCUGCAUCAUUGGUCUUCCAUGUUUUUCUUAUAUUUGUUAAGCACAGCAAGUAAUAGCUCAUUCCACAUAUCAAUUGGUCCUGGCAGGCACCAAUGCGAACAAUCACUGUAACCCCUCAUCCACUCAUUAUUCCAAUGAAUCCCUGGGUGUGCAUCAGGUCUCAUAGACAUAAGCUUGGUUAUAUCUAGGAUCUCUAUAUUCAUCCCGCCCUUUUGUUUUUUCUCCUUUUGUGCUCUGUUGGCUUCCUCAACCUGGACAUCUCUUAUUUCCCUUUCAAUUGUACUGGUCAUUGCUGUUCCUUC
Triticum urartu is the source of this 1444-nucleotide RNA transcript. It is a transcript of the gene named GCN5-related N-acetyltransferase 5, chloroplastic, with no coding region annotated. The record is from RefSeq and is a predicted model, not a curated record. NCBI's taxonomy places the organism in Eukaryota, Viridiplantae, Streptophyta, Magnoliopsida, Poales, Poaceae.